Molecule: transfer RNA, 73 nt
Filed under: Dorea ammoniilytica
Lineage: Bacteria; Bacillati; Bacillota; Clostridia; Lachnospirales; Lachnospiraceae
Also listed under: 2 other names
Description: tRNA-Glu
Rfam family: tRNA
About the family: Transfer RNA (tRNA) molecules are approximately 80 nucleotides in length. Their secondary structure includes four short double-helical elements and three loops (D, anti-codon, and T loops). Further hydrogen bonds mediate the characteristic L-shaped molecular structure. tRNAs have two regions of fundamental functional importance: the anti-codon, which is responsible for specific mRNA codon recognition, and the 3' end, to which the tRNAs corresponding amino acid is attached (by aminoacyl-tRNA synthetases). tRNAs cope with the degeneracy of the genetic code in two manners: having more than one tRNA (with a specific anti-codon) for a particular amino acid; and 'wobble' base-pairing, i.e. permitting non-standard base-pairing at the 3rd anti-codon position.
Source: RNAcentral
GGCUCCAUGGUCAAGCGGUCAAGACAUCGCCCUUUCACGGCGGUAACCCGGGUUCGAUUCCCGGUGGAGUCAC